Cyprinus carpio carpio is the source of this 1189-nucleotide long non-coding RNA. NCBI's taxonomy places the organism in Eukaryota, Metazoa, Chordata, Actinopteri, Cypriniformes, Cyprinidae. The record is from Ensembl.
GUCCAAAUCAUAUUUCUCCAUAAAAAAAAUAAUAAUGCAAAAAAAUAAAAUAAAGAUUAUGAAGCCUAAAUUUGAGCCUGAGAUUUUGUGCAUUGCAUCACUAUAUUCAUGACAGAUGUGAAUUUGAAUUAUGGCGAAUGUGCCGAUCAAAACCACAUGCGAGGAAGACGCAGAAAUGAGUGAUCUCCUAUGCAUGCAUAUGAAAAACAAUGUGAUCCUCAACAAUAAACAGCAUAUAGAUUUAUAAUUAUGCAAGUAGUUUCUAUCAGCUGUGAAUAGAUUUUUUUCUUUUGUUCAACACAGUGAAUCCAAUAGAGUUUGGGGCCUUUCAAUGAGAUCUGUGGUAACUGUUUUGAAAAAGGGUGUGAAAAAUGUGUGAAACAAAUGAAAAAGUGUUAAAACAUUUGCAAGAGAAGACUUCUGCUGUGCUAAUAAUGUGAUGAUGAAGAUCAAGCAGAUCCCAGUUUCAUUUAGUGUGUCUUAGCAAAUGAGAAAAACUGUAAUAGCUGAAGUUUUGUUCCCAAACACUAUGUAAAUAAGUUUUAGUUUAUCUUUUUAGUGAUCUUCAUCAGUAUUUUUGAUCUUGUUUGAUCAGUUCCAAUAUCUAAACAUGUAAUUUAAAUCAAUACAUAUUUACUUGAGAAGCAAAAUGACUUGAAGUCUUGUUUUCUGAAAAACUGAUCAAAAUGAAAUGUGUUUUAUGAUUAAAACAAUAACUAAUAUCGCCCAAUGGGCAGAAAAUUAACUUAAUUCAAACAGAAAACAGUUUUCAUUCCACAUUGACAGAUAUUUGUUCUUGUUUUAAACAUAAACUCACUUCAUUUUGUUCAGUUUCUCAGAAAGCUAUCUUUAUUUUGCAUCUCAAGUAAAUGUAUCUUAUUUUAAGGAUGUUUAGAUACAGUAUUUGUAAUUGCAAACAAGACAAAAGAUAUAAGUUUUUUUUAAGUGCAUGCAACACUUAAUGCCAUGACUUUAUGAAUUAAAGAUGUUCUGCUCUGAUUUAAGGCCUUCAUUUAGUGAAUUAAGAUUUUUUUAAGACCUGCAUAAACCCUGUGAAUAUGAAUAUUAUACUGUCAUCAAACUAGAUUUAAAAAGCUUAAAAGGUGAAGUCUGCAUUAAAGUGAGCCAGGAUACACUUCAUCUUGAAAUUUCACAGCUCAACAGUCCACAGAUGCAUUUACAUGCACAA